UAUAUAUUGAUGUAUUGCCUAAAAAUUUUUGAAAUUUUUUGAAUUAAUUAAAUUUAAUAUAUAUAA
RNAcentral lists this transfer RNA (66 nucleotides) under Sycobia sp. 2 JXW-2020. RNAcentral's name for it is "tRNA-Gln". Lineage: Eukaryota; Metazoa; Arthropoda; Insecta; Hymenoptera; Epichrysomallidae. The record is from RNAcentral.